CGUAGAGUUUGAUCCUGGCGUCAGGAUGAACGCUGGCGGCGUGCUUAACACAUGCAAGUCGAACGGAACAACCCUUGAAGGAGUUUUCGGACAACAGAUAGGACUGUUUAGUGGCGGACGGGUGAGUAACGCGUGAGUAACCUGCCUUGGAGUGGGGAAUAACAGCUGGAAACAGCUGCUAAUACCGCAUAAUAUGUCUGAAUCGCAUGGUUCUGGACAUCAAAGAUUUAUCGCUCUGAGAUGGACUCGCGUCUGAUUAGCUGGUUGGCGGGGUAACGGCCCACCAAGGCGACGAUCAGUAGCCGGACUGAGGGGUUGGCCGGCCACAUUGGGACUGAGACACGGCCCAGACUCCUACGGGAGGCAGCAGUGGGGAAUAUUGGGCAAUGGGCGCAAGCCUGACCCAGCAACGCCGCGUGAAGGAAGAAGGCUUUCGGGUUGUAAACUUCUUUUCUCAGGGACGAAGCAAGUGACGGUACCUGAGGAAUAAGCCACGGCUAACUACGUG
This 508-nucleotide ribosomal RNA is filed under the name uncultured Oscillospiraceae bacterium. RNAcentral's name for it is "bacterial SSU rRNA". It matches the Rfam family "Bacterial small subunit ribosomal RNA", at positions 1 to 507 of the family's 1533-position model. The record is from RNAcentral. Lineage: Bacteria; Bacillati; Bacillota; Clostridia; Eubacteriales; Oscillospiraceae.